This 292-nucleotide ribosomal RNA is filed under the name uncultured bacterium. Its description in RNAcentral is "partial 16S ribosomal RNA". It matches the Rfam family "Bacterial small subunit ribosomal RNA", at positions 505 to 796 of the family's 1533-position model. The record is from RNAcentral.
GUGUCAGCCGCCGCGGUAAUACAGAGGUCUCAAGCGUUGUUCGGAAUUACUGGGCGUAAAGGGUGCGCAGGCCGCGCGGGCAGUCAAAUGUGUAAUUCAGGGGCUCAACCCCUGCACUGCGCUUGAUACUUCCGCGCUCGAACCUUGGAGAGGAGUCUGGAAUUCUCGGUGUAGCAGUGAAAUGCGUGGAUAUCGAGAAGAACACUUAGGGCGAAAGCAAGACUCUGGACAAGUGUUGACGCUCAUGCACGAAGGCUAGGGUAGCGAACGGGAUUAGAUACCCGCGUAGUCC